UACGGAGGGUGCAAGCGUUAAUCGGAAUUACUGGGCGUAAAGCGCGCGUAGGCGGCUUGUUAAGUCGGAUGUGAAAGCCCUGGGCUCAACCUAGGAAUUGCAUUCGAUACUGGCGAGCUAGAGUAUGAUAGAGGGUGGUGGAAUUCCUAGUGUAGCGGUGAAAUGCGUAGAUAUUAGGAGGAACAUCGGUGGCGAAGGCGGCCACCUGGGUCAAUACUGACGCUGAAGUGCGAAAGCGUGGGGAGCAAACAGG
RNAcentral lists this ribosomal RNA (253 nucleotides) under uncultured bacterium. Its description in RNAcentral is "partial 16S ribosomal RNA". It matches the Rfam family "Bacterial small subunit ribosomal RNA", at positions 524 to 776 of the family's 1533-position model. The record is from RNAcentral.